Folsomia candida is the source of this 559-nucleotide long non-coding RNA. RefSeq lists it as uncharacterized. The record is from RefSeq and is a predicted model, not a curated record. Lineage: Eukaryota; Metazoa; Arthropoda; Collembola; Entomobryomorpha; Isotomidae. The transcript is spliced from 3 exons.
UUUGCUUGCUUAUCAUACCCAAUACAACUUGAGCAAGGAGGUAUAAAUGGAAGCGACGCAGUGACAAGAGCGAACAGUUAAAUUUGUAAGAGAGUAGGAGUAUAAAGUUGAAUACACACUGACGAGAAUAUUUAGUAAGGUUUCCAGCCAUGCGAUCCGUCAAGACUGUGCUGAUCCUGAUAGUCCUGGCAUUUGUAUUGCUACCAAUUUUGUGCGCCCAGCAAUGCAAACUUUUAGGGCUACCCGUACCACUCACGGAAUGCAAAGAACAAUGUGAAGUCCAGGAAUAUCCUCUCGCAACGUGCCCUUCUGGGAUGACAUGCUGCUUAUUAGGCUGAAGGCAAAACCAAAUAUUCUGAAAGCAAUUAUUUAAUUUGUUUCAAAAACUGAAUAUAAAACCAAAAUUUAUGAACUCUAAAAAUAACAUGAGAUGAUAAAAUUGGGCAACAAGUAAUUUGCAUAGAUACUCGCAGAAUUAAAAAAAAAUAUUGUAUGUUAAAAAGUUGACACAAAUGUCGUUAUAUUUCUCUAAAUAAAAUUCAGUUUGAUGUCACGUACA